AUGACUGUAAAGAAGACAGUGGUUGAUUGCACACGGGGCAUCAGUAGGGAGGAGAGAGCCAUAGCUAGAAGGAACAAACGUGAGUCCUUGAUUUCCAGUGGGAGUGAUGUCAGAAGAAAAAAAAAAAGAAGGGUUAGGAGGUUUCAGAAACAAACGGAAAAGAUGGUAAAAUUGCUAAAGGAAACACUAGCCGCAGAGGCUGCUGAGGCUGCUGAGGAAGCACGGCUUUUCAAUUUAGAGCACCCCCACCAAGUUGUUUCAAGCACUCCUUUCCAAGAGAAAGAGUUUGGUGAUAAGCCACUUCAAACAAUCAGGGCCAGCAAGGACAUAACUCCAGAUUUGUCUGCCAUUGUUGUCUCUCUUGCUCUGUUUGAUGGAAGCAGGAUGUUAUUUGCAUGCUCUGGCCUAGCUAUACCAUCCGGGACAACUAAACUAGAGCUAAGAAGAUUUGUGACUUCAAGACGUUUGGUUGAGGAAUUUAAUAAAAACCGAAAUAUAGAUGAUAAAUUGAGGAUUGACGUGUGCCUUCCAGAUAAUACACAUAUGGAUGGGUUCUUGGGACUAUAUGAUAAAGAUAUUGCUAUUGUCACGUCCUGCGACUUCACGUAUUGUGCCCCCACGAAAGAUGUCUGUCCUGUAAAUCUGGACCUUCAUGCGCCUCUGCCUUCUGAUGGUAAAAUAAUAGCAGCUGCUCGUGCCUUUGGAUCGGGCCGUUUAAUGGUCACAUCCGGGCUUCUGACUGGAAAUGGUAUUGCAAGAUGGGAACAAAUCACAGAGGCUGCACUUGGAGGGCCACUCGUCGAUCAAGAUGCGAAGUUUCUUGGGGUCAACAUUCGUGUCGAGGGCCCUUCUUCUUGGUUCCUACCACUGAUGGCUCUUUGUAAACGCUUGGAGAAUUUUCAGUUACUCAGUUCUAGAACUACGGACUUCCGUGGAUAUUCCUUGCCUCCAUUUGUAUCAAGCAUAAUCCCUUCAGGGUUCUGGUUUAGAAUUAAGCAGCUAGAUUCCCUUGGUUAUCCCAGGCCACCACCACUUGUUCUUGAAUUCAAUGGGGAAUUGCUCGAGACAUUUGAGGAGAAAUUUGGUCAAUUACUUGCAUGGAAAGGGUAUCCUUACAGCGUUUCGAACCCGCGUUCUAGGGAGUAUGUUUGGCCGCUACUUCCAAGAGACGUUGUUACAAACAUAUCCCGAAGUGUUGUCAAACUUGCGUCGUUCAAUGGAAGCGUGAGGUCUUUUGCAUGCACAGGCUUGCUAAUAAAGUGGCCUGGAACUGAAGGCACACGCACUGUCAUUCUCACUUCGGCAAGUUUAGUUAGAAGUCGUGAUGAUCACUUCAAGAUUGAUAACAACUUAACGAUUGAUGUGUUUCUCCCACCGAAACAACAUGCCAAGGGGACUUUGGUAUUCUACCAUUUAAAUGCUAAUCUUGCUAUUGUCAGUCUUGAUAAGGGUAUCCGUGGCAUUCGUCCAUUUGAUAUUUGCCAUAAAGGGGAUUUAUCUAAACCGGUAGUAGCUAUAGCGCGUAAAAUUGAAGCAGGGUUUUUAAUGGCCUCAAAAGGUGAAGUGGUUGAAUACAAUCCCCGCGACAGUUAUUUUGAAAAGCUUAUGCUGUCCACUUGUAAAAUCAACAAGGCUGGGAUUGGAGGUCCCCUUAUUAAUUUUGAUGGGGCAUUUGUUGGCAUGAAUCACUAUGAUGGAAGUGAAGUAACUCCUUUCAUGCCAAGGCGUGAGAUUGUUCAAAUUCUGAAAGGAGAGGUUAAUUGGCGAAGACAAAGUGGUCUCUCCAUGGACGUACUGCAUGGUGUUGGAUGUGGGAGUCGGAUACACCGGCGAAAGUGGCCUCUUCCCGAGCCAUACUGGUACCAUGGUUUACUUACUAUGGACAAGUAUGAUUUGCACCCGCAUAUUGGAAGACAACUCCAGUAG
This 1926-nucleotide ribosomal RNA is filed under the name Triticum aestivum (bread wheat). RNAcentral's name for it is "partial small subunit ribosomal RNA". Lineage: Eukaryota; Viridiplantae; Streptophyta; Magnoliopsida; Poales; Poaceae. The record is from RNAcentral.